Molecule: non-coding RNA, 134 nt
Organism: Lepraria neglecta
Lineage: Eukaryota; Fungi; Ascomycota; Lecanoromycetes; Lecanorales; Stereocaulaceae
Source: the annotation of a GenBank genome assembly
UCUAUGGCUUAAUGGUAAAGCGCGUCACGUAAGUAGGAUCGGAACGUCGUUUCGCCUAGUCGCUGAUGGCCGUAAAAGUAGUAUAUCCAAAUCGAAACAUGACGAGAUUCUCGGUUCGAUUCCGAGUGGGUGAG